Molecule: ribosomal RNA, 497 nt
Filed under: uncultured bacterium
Lineage: Bacteria
Description: partial 16S ribosomal RNA
Rfam family: Bacterial small subunit ribosomal RNA
Source: RNAcentral
GACGAACGCUGGCGGCGUGCCUAAUACAUGCAAGUUGAGCGAUGAAGAUUGGUGCUUGCACCAAUUUGAAGAGCAGCGAACGGGUGAGUAACGCGUGGGGAAUCUGCCUUUGAGCGGGGGACAACAUUUGGAAACGAAUGCUAAUACCGCAUAACAACUUUAAACAUAAGUUUUAAGUUUGAAAGUUGCAUUUGCAUAAUUAAAGGAUGACCCCGCGUUGUAUUAGUUAGUUGGUGAGGUAAAGGCUCACCAAGGCGAUGAUACAUAGCCGACCUGAGAGGGUGAUCGGCCACAUUGGGACUGAGACACGGCCCAAACUCCUACGGGAGGCAGCAGUAGGGAAUCUUCGGCAAUGGACGAAAGUCUGACCGAGCAACGCCGCGUGAGUGAAGAAGGUUUUCGGAUCGUAAAACUCUGUUGGUAGAGAAGAACGUUGGUGAGAGUGGAAAGCUCAUCAAGUGACGGUAACUACCCAGAAAGGGACGGCUAACUACAUG